Molecule: ribosomal RNA, 491 nt
Filed under: uncultured bacterium
Lineage: Bacteria
Description: partial 16S ribosomal RNA
Rfam family: Bacterial small subunit ribosomal RNA
Source: RNAcentral
AGUGAACGCUGGCGGUAGGCCUAACACAUGCAAGUCGAACGGCAGCACAGUAAGAGCUUGCUCUUACGGGUGGCGAGUGGCGGACGGGUGAGGAAUACAUCGGAAUCUACUUUUUCGUGGGGGAUAACGUAGGGAAACUUACGCUAAUACCGCAUACGACCUACGGGUGAAAGCAGGGGAUCUUCGGACCUUGCGCGAUUGAAUGAGCCGAUGUCGGAUUAGCUAGUUGGCGGGGUAAAGGCCCACCAAGGCGACGAUCCGUAGCUGGUCUGAGAGGAUGAUCAGCCAAACUGGAACUGAGACACGGCCCAGACUCCGACGGGAGGCAGGAGGGGGGAAUAUGGGAAAAGGGGCGGAAGCCUGACCCAGCCAUACCGGGGGGGUGAAGAAGGCCUUCGGGUUGUAAAGCCCUUUUGUUGGGAAAGAAAAGCAGCAGGUUAAAACCCCGCUGUUCUGACGGUACCCAAAGAAUAAGCCCCGGCUAACUUCGU